This is a long non-coding RNA of Trifolium pratense (red clover), 1592 nucleotides long. RefSeq lists it as uncharacterized. The record is from RefSeq and is a predicted model, not a curated record. Lineage: Eukaryota; Viridiplantae; Streptophyta; Magnoliopsida; Fabales; Fabaceae. The transcript has 9 exons.
AUAUCCUAUCUAUUAACAAUAGAAACCGCUUCACAUAAUACUGUUAGGGGCAAAAGAGGCGCGUACCCAGCACCUUCUCCCUCGUCCCCCGACGCUGUAGCUUCAAGAAAAUUGCGCGUUUUUCAAAUCCCUCUCCAACUGAGAAUCUCACUUUUGUCCUUCAUCACUCAUCACACAAGUUUUCCAUCCACCUUAUAAAUACCCUAAUCAAUGGAAGGCAUGGAGAAUGAAGGUUAGGGUUGUAAGGAUUCCUCAUCUCAAUUCUUGGUAAAGUUCCAUCUUCUCCAUGCUUAUUUUUUCUACCCAUAACUUUUAUGCAUGAUAAACAUUUUUCCCUUCUCAUUUCACGCACUUGAAAUAUUUGUUCUUUUUGCAAAUUUAUAUGCCAGAUUGUUAAAAUUUGUGAGUUGUUAUCCCAGUAUCAAUUUUAGUUAAACUACUUGAUUUAUCAAUUUUAGUUAAACUACUUGAUUUUGGGUGUGGGUAGUAGUGGGGAUAGAAAUAGAAUUAGUAAUUGAGAUAAAAUGCAUUGCAGGUGUUUGAUAAAAUGCCCAUGUGGAAAAUUGUGGUAGCUACAAUAGAACUAUAAGUCAUGGACUUAAUUUUGAAUGUCUUUAUCUGUGGCCUUUAUAAUAUGCAUCAUUUUAACAAUAUUAGACAGGUUUUUUCAGAUAUAAUCUUCUAACUAUACAUACAGUUUUCUUUGUGUGCAUAAAAAAUCUCUGGCAAAUACUAUAUUCUAAAGGUUUGUACACAAUUUCAUAUCAGUUUUGCCAUAGAUGAUUAUAUAAGUUUGAUUCACUAGGCGACGAGAUUCAAUGGACAACUUUAGAAGACAAUUGUGAGUUGUGGAAGUGGACGACAAUUUUUUCCUAACCUUAAGAUGGUUUUGGUCUGCAGAUCCCAUGAUUGUUCCAGCUAUUGCAACAGGAAAUAAUGGCAGAAAGUUUGGUAUGAGAGAUGAAAAUUGCUUGACUACAUAUAUGUAUGUAAGGAGCUAAAAGUAAUGGAAAGAAGAAAAAUUAUAGCUUUCGGGGAUUUUGGUCAUCGAGCAUUUCACAAAGGAGUUUGGAGCUUUUGUCAUUCUCGUAGUUAAUGCCUUAGACUCAAUGAAAUGUGUGGCUGCUGUAAAAAGGAAAGGAGAAGUGCAAGAAGAGGAUAUUUGCAUGAAGUUUCUUACUUCCUUUUCAUUGAUGAAGAAAGAGGUGAGUGAAGAUCCAUUCAUCUUGCUUCUUGCAAAGGUAGUAGAAGUUUUAUGUAUUUUGAUUGUCUUAAUUUAAUUUUUUUCCCGGUUGAUUUGGAAGAAGCUGAAUACAUAGUGUUCAAGUACAUAUGGUGAAUAGAGGAGGAAUAGAGAAAUACAACUUAUGAUAUGAGGUUGGGACUUGGGAAUUUGUAAGAAUGUGACAAAUUAACUAUAUCUUUAUGAAUUGUUGAUGUCAAACAUGAAUACAAGAUUGAUCAAGUAGUUGGUACUUAGAGAAAAUUUGUCUCAAUGAUGAAAUUGGUAAUGUCCAUGUUAAGAAAGAUUGUGAAGGCUGUGAAAAUUGACAAUGAUGAAUAUGAGUUUAAGAUUGUGAAGGUUGUGUCAA